This 440-nucleotide ribosomal RNA is filed under the name uncultured bacterium. Its description in RNAcentral is "partial 16S ribosomal RNA". It matches the Rfam family "Bacterial small subunit ribosomal RNA", at positions 338 to 795 of the family's 1533-position model. The record is from RNAcentral.
CCUACGGGAGGCAGCAGUAGGGAAUAUUGCUCAAUGGGGGAAACCCUGAAGCAGCAACGCCGCGUGGAGGAUGAAGGUUUUCGGAUUGUAAACUCCUUUUGUUAGAGAAGAUAAUGACGGUAUCUAACGAAUAAGCACCGGCUAACUCCGUGCCAGCAGCCGCGGUAAUACGGAGGGUGCAAGCGUUACUCGGAAUCACUGGGCGUAAAGAGCGCGUAGGCGGGAUAGCAAGUCAGAUGUGAAAUCCUAUGGCUUAACCAUAGAACUGCAUUUGAAACUGUUAUUCUAGAGUAUGGGAGAGGUAGGUGGAAUUCUUGGUGUAGGGGUAAAAUCCGUAGAGAUCAAGAGGAAUACUCAUUGCGAAGGCAGCUUACUAAACUGCCACUGACAUUGAUGCUCGAAAGUGUGGGUAUCAAACAGGAUUAGAUACCCUUGUAGUC